Molecule: ribosomal RNA, 409 nt
Filed under: Bembidion articulatum
Lineage: Eukaryota; Metazoa; Arthropoda; Insecta; Coleoptera; Carabidae
Description: SSU rRNA
Rfam family: Eukaryotic small subunit ribosomal RNA
Source: RNAcentral
CUCCAGCUCUAAUAGCGUAUAUUAAAGUUGUUGCGGUUAAAAAGCUCGUAGUUGAAUCUGUGUUCCGCGCUGUCGGUUCACCGCCCGCGGUGAAACUGGCAUGCCGCGGAACGUCCUGCCGGUGGAUGCGUGUCCUUUGUUUACUUCCCCCAUUGUGUGUGUGCAACUUGUUGUUACUACAUGGUGUGGUGGGGUUUCAAAUGUGUCACCAUCCGACUCAAUAAUCCUGUCGCGGUGCUCUUAAUUGAGUGUCGAGGCGGGCCGGCACGUUUACUUUGAACAAAUUAGAGUGCUCAAAGCAGGCUAAAAUUUCGCCUGAAUACUGUGUGCAUGGAAUAAUGGAACAGGACCUCGGUUCUAUUUUGUUGGUUUUCGGAACCCCGAGGUAAUGAUUAAUAGGGACAGAUGG